This 235-nucleotide ribosomal RNA is filed under the name uncultured Candidatus Saccharibacteria bacterium. RNAcentral's name for it is "partial 16S ribosomal RNA". It matches the Rfam family "Bacterial small subunit ribosomal RNA", at positions 584 to 818 of the family's 1533-position model. The record is from RNAcentral. Lineage: Bacteria; Candidatus Saccharimonadota.
UAAGUAGGUAGUGAAAUUGUGUGGCUCAACCAUACGCCCAUUAUCUAAACUGCUCAGCUAGAGUAUGGGAGAGGUCACUGGAAUUUCUUGUGUAGGAGUGAAAUCCGUAGAUAUAAGAAGGAACACCGAUGGCGUAGGCAGGUGACUGGCCCAUUACUGACACUAAGGCACGAAAGCGUGGGGAGCGAACUGGAUUAGAUACCCAGGUAGUCCACGCCGUAAACGAUGGAUGCUA